UUACUGAUAGGUUAUUCAAACUGACAAAUUGUGGUUUUGUUGAUUACUAAUUUAUUUUGUAUCAGUAAA
This 69-nucleotide transfer RNA is filed under the name Rodentolepis nana. Its description in RNAcentral is "tRNA-His". Lineage: Eukaryota; Metazoa; Platyhelminthes; Cestoda; Cyclophyllidea; Hymenolepididae. The record is from RNAcentral.